GACCACAGCCAUAUCACUCUGCAGCCCAAGACUGGUUGCCCACUGAAGCUAAGCAGGGUUGAGCCUGGUCAGCACCUGGAUGGGAGACCUCCUGGGAAAACUAGGUUGCUGUUGGAA
This 117-nucleotide ribosomal RNA is filed under the name Sinocyclocheilus anshuiensis. Lineage: Eukaryota; Metazoa; Chordata; Actinopteri; Cypriniformes; Cyprinidae. The record is from RNAcentral.